Molecule: long non-coding RNA, 7804 nt
Filed under: Mytilus galloprovincialis (Mediterranean mussel)
Lineage: Eukaryota; Metazoa; Mollusca; Bivalvia; Mytilida; Mytilidae
Source: RNAcentral
GAGCAAUUUGGUAAAAUAAAUUUGUCGGUUUCUUAUACGGUUGCGACAUAUAAGUGAUAACAAGAAAAAACAGUGUUCGGGAGAUAACUCUUACAUGGAAAAGAUUUUUGUUACGCUGUGUCAGUUCCAAAAGCGUAUUAACUCUUAGAUAUCAUAUACAAAAUAUCUAAGUGACAACUUGUGAAACAAAAAGUUAGCGAAGGAAAGAAAUUAGCGGAAGAAAAAAAUAAAAUAAUCAGAAGAAACCAAUAGGUCUUUCCACGGAAAAGUGGAAAGACCUAAUUAAAAACCAAUUGUUCAGAAAACCAUUGAUGGUCUUUCCACCAGUAAGGAUUUUUUUUAUAUAAAAAUAUUAAAAAUUUGGUUUUAAAUGUCAAUUGAACCGUCAAAUGACAGCUAAUUGAACGUUGAUUCCAAAAAUGUAUGGUUCUAUGGAAAAAGAUAUAGAUAAGGGAGAUAAUUGUUAACUUCCGGUCAAACGACGUAAUUCCGGUAUAGUUUGAUAGUUUAUUGACAUUGAUUCCAAAAAUAUAUGGUCUAAUACUUUUACAUUUAAUUUAGAACAAAAAAUAGCUACUUCCGGUAACAAAAGGUCACUUCCGGUUGGCUUUUACAAGUCACAUUGCUUGCAACCUAUGCAAAAGUCCCAUGUCUUAUCAUGAUAUACAUAUGAGGUAAAAGCAAAGGUCAAAAUCUAGAACGUAAUUUUGCCAGAUGACCUUGAGCACAAUUUCAAGGUCAUCAACCAAGGACCUCAAAUCAAAAGACUUUAGUCCUCUACUUUAUAUUGUUUAUGAGUUAUAUUACCAUACAUAUGAUAUUAGAUAUAAAAAGGGGGAAAACUCACGUCAAAUGUUACGUACCCUUUCGACUAAAAUUUAUGUGUAUACAUGUUAACUAACAAUUUUAUGAAAAGAUUUUGUCAAUAUCUUAUAUGAUUUUUGAAAAUAAGAGAUAACAAGCCAAAAUCAAAAUUUGAUCAUGACCUUGACCUUUGACCUUGACCUCAUUUUCAAUUUUUUGGACCAAGGACCUCAAAACAAAAGACCUAGGCCUCUAACACUUAUGGUUUUCCAGUUAAAAAUGCAAUAUCACUUAUUAUCAAAUAUAAAAGGGGAAAUAACUCUCAUAUGGAGUCUCCGAAGCUUCGGUCAAAAUAAAUCAAAUCCUGAGGAUAUAACGAGCAAUUUGGUAAAAUAAAUUUGUCGGUUUCUUAUACGGUUGCGAAUAUUAAGAUCACAAGAAAAACAGUGUUCGGGGAGAUAACUCUUACAUUGAAAAGAUUUUGGUUACGCGGUGUCAGUUUCAAAAGCGUAUUAAUUGCUCGAUAUCAUAUACCAUAUAUCUAAGCGACAUCUUGCGAAACAAAAAAAUUGCGAAGAACAAAAGUUGGCGGAAGAAAAAAACAAUAAUAAUCAGAAGAAACCAAUAGGUCUUUCCACGGAAAAGUGGAAAGACCUAAUAAUAAUCAGAAGAAAACCAAUAGGUCUUUCCACGGAAAAGUGGAAAGACCUAAUAAUAAUAAAUAUAAAUCAAUUGCUUUUAAAAAGCAAUUGUGAACGGUCUUUCACCCCUUAAAAAGUGUUUGAUUGAUGUGUGUGUGUGUGUGUGUGUGUGUGUGUGUGUGUUUGUUUGUUUGUUUGUUUGUUUGUUUGUGUAAGGGGUCUAUAGUAUUGGGUUACCGGAGAAGUUUCAUGUUUAGUUUGGAAAGUGUUUCUUUUAUUUUAGGUACAGCGCGCGCGACAUCACGUGACACGGGUUUAUAAUAACGAAAACUUAGUCUUUUUAUUUCUUUUUAGGUGGGGACGUUGAACAGACAACAUGUAUAGAGACGGAAUGCACACAAUGUAAUUUCUUUGUCAUUGUAGGAAUUGACAUUUUGAUCACAGGUCACGGGCAGUGCAUGUUUUGGUUUUAAUCGAUCCGGUGUAACUUUAAAACACAUUUAAUGAUUAUUUUCUGAUAAUGUACAUUUUUCAGCACCUGUGUGUAACACAGAUUAGUAUUUCAAUCUCGGAGCGGACAUUUUAUUGUAGGUUUUUACUGAGAUUAACGGACCUAGCAAGCGAUUUUUACGGUAUUGCCAUUUCUGUUCUCUAGGUAAAGUCUUGAGAGAUAUCUGCACCAAGUUUUUUUAUGAACCUUUAUUACAUGUAUGCCCUGCUGACUGCAAAUUUUGAGGUCGAUUGGACUUGUAGUUUCAGAGUACAUGUGGAUUCUUUUUCAGAAGAGACGUAAGAACAAUAUUAAAUUUCAAUUUUUCUUGAAUAAUUGAGAGUUUGUUCCUUCACUAUACUGUCAUAAAUAAACAGUCAUACAUAUUGAUUGAUUGAUUGAUUAGUUGGUUGGUUGAUUGAUUGAUUGAUUGAUUGAUUGAUUGGUUGGUUGGUUGGUUGGUUGGUUAAACACGUUGGAUAGGGUCAAUUGAAACAGCGAAAAAGAAACAGAAGACCCUAUAUUAAACACAUGAAACGGAAACAUGAUUGAUUGAUUGAUCGAUCAUGAUCAUGAUCAUGAUUGAUUGAUUGAUUGAUUGAUUGAUUGGUUGGUUGGUUGGUUGGUUAAACACGUUGGAUAGGGUCAAUUGAAACAGCGAAAAAGAAGCAAAGAAGAUCUUGAACCCUAUAUUAAACACAUGAAACGGAAACAUGAUUGAUUGAUCAUGAUCAUGAUCAUGAUUGAUUGAUUGAUUGAUUGAUUGAUUGAUUGAUUGAUUGGUUAGUUGUUUGGUUGGUUGGUUGGUUGGUUGGUUGGUUGGUUGGCAGGCUUUAUAUAAACCAUCAAUGGGGAUUAUGUCCCUUACACAAUGGUAAAACCAAUGCAGUCGAAAUGUAACAAAGUUGCCCCCUGAGGUACCAAACAUUUUUCACUAUGAAAAUUUUCUGUAUCUAUAACCAUUCAAAAGUUAUAGGGAAAUCAAAGACCAAUAAAAAUCUAAAAUACGACCUUGACCUUUGACCUUGACCUAAUUUUCGGUUUUUUGGACCAAGGAUCUCAAAUCAAAAGACCCGAGGUCUCUAUCACUUAUGGUUUUCCAGUUUAAAAUACAUUUCAAAAUUUCAAAAACAAAAGGGGAAAUUAACUCUCAUAUGGAAUCUCUAUAAGGCUUCGGUCAAAAAAAAACAGAUCGUCCUGAGGAUGUAACGCGCCAUUUGGAAAAAUAAAUUUGUCGGCUUCUUAAACGGUUGUGAAGAUUAACCGAUAACAAAAAAAACAGUGUUCGGGGAGAUAACUCUUAUAUGGGAAAGUAUUGGGUUUCGCGGUGUCAGUUUCAAAAGCGCAUAAACUGUUCGAUAUCAUAUUCAUUAUAUCUAAGCGACAUCUUGCGAAACAAAAAAAAAGCGAAGGAAAAAAAUGUUGGCGGAAGAAAAAAAAUAAUAAUAAUUAAAAACCAAUUGUUCAGAGAACCAUUGAUGGUCUUUCCACUAGUAAUGAUUUUUUUUAUAUAAAAAUAUUAAAAUUUGCUUUUAAAUGUCAAUUUCAGCGUCAAAUGACAACUUAUUGUACGCUGAUCUAAAAAUAUAAGGUUUAUAUACAAAAAGAUAUAAAUAAGGGAGAUAAUUUUCUACUUCCGGUUCAAAAUAUGUUACUUCCGGUACUGUCUUAUAGAUUACUUGACGCUGAUUCCAAAAAUAUAUGGUUUUACAUACUUUUACAAUAAUUUAUACCAAAAAUUAGCUACUUCCGGUUUGCAAAAGGUCACUUCCGGUUAGCUUUUUCAACGUCAUAUUGCUUGCAACCUAAUGCAAAAAGUCUAAUAGCUUUAACAUGAAUAUAUAUGAGAUAAAAGCAAAGGUCAAAAUCUUGAAUAUUAAAUUAACAUAUGACCUUGAGCUCAAUUUCAAGGUCAUAAACUAAGGACCUCAAAUCAAAAGACUCUAGGUCUUUACUUUAUAUUGUUAAUGAGUUAUAUUACCAUACAACUGAUAUUAGAUAUAAAAGGGGGGAAAACUAACAUCAAAUGUUUACGUACCCUUUUGACUAAAAUUUAUGUGUAACUACAUGUCGCGACUAACAAUUGUGUGAAAAUAUUUUGUCGAUAUCUUAUAAGAUUUCUGAAAAUAAGCGAUAACAAGCCAAAAUCAAAAUUUUGAACAUGACCUUGACCUUUGACCUUGACCUCAUUUUCAUUUUUUUGAACCAAGGACCUUAAAUCAAAAGACCCUAGGCCUAUGUCACUUAUCGUUUACCAGUUAGAAAUGCAAAUCAGUUAUAUCAUAUACAAAAGGGGGAAUAACUCUCAUAUGGAGUCUCCGGAUAGCUUCGACUAAAAUUAUUCAUUUCAUCCUGAGGAUAUAACGAGCAAUUUGGUAAAAUAAAUUUGUCGGUUUCUUAUAUGGUUGCGACAUAUAAGUGAUAACAAGAAAAACAGUGUUCGGGGAGAUAACUCUUACAUGGAAAAGAUUUUUGUUACGCGGUGUCAGUUUCAAAAGCGUAUUAACUCUUCGAUAUCAUAUACAAAAUAUCUAAGUGACAUCUUGUGAAACAAAAAGUUAGCGAAGCAAAAAAAAUUAGGCGGAAGAAAAAAAAUAAUAAUUAAACUGUCAAUUGUUCUUGAACAAUUGAGAGGUCUUUCCUUUUGUAAUGUAAAAUACACGUUCCAACAGACGUAGAAUGUAUUGAAAAGGUCAAGGUCAACCUUAAAAAGCUCCAAAACACACUAAAAAUGCUUUAUAUAAGGUUAAAAACACUAAAUUCGCUAUCUGGGACAUGACCUUGACCUUUGACCUUUUGACCUUUGUCAAGGUCAUUACUCUCCAAUGCCAUUACUGAAGACCCCAAGGGUCUAGGACCUUUGGUUAUAUAGUAAAAGCUGAUUUUGUCUUUUCAGAAACCUAAAACAGGGGUUAUGCCCCUUAUAGAAAGGUCAAAUCUCUUUGGUCAAAAUGUAACAAAGUUGCGCCAUAAUGACUCAAAUAUUUUCCACUAUGUAAAACUUCUGUAAGUAUAAUGGUUUCUGAGAUUAUCCCAUAACAAGGUGUUAGGUCAAAGGUCAAGGUCAACAUACAAAUUUGACCUUGAGGUUUUUUUCAAAGAUACAUGAAUUGAUGAUGAUUGGUGAAGAUCCUAGGUCUCUACGACUUACGGUUUCUGAGUUUUGGUGGUCCACCGACACCGGUUAAUUUUCAUAGGGGCAUAACUCUACCAAUGAGUCGUUGAAUCUUUUCGAUCCAAAUGUAACGAAGAACCGACCUCUGGUCCUGAACAAAUUUCAGCCUUUGUUUUUUUUCUACCUAUUAUGGUUACGGUGUUGGAACGAUAACAAGGUUUUUUGGUUUCGGAGGGAUUACUCCGAACCGACAAAAUAUUUCGACUAAUAGGGUGAGUUCUGGAUAGAUAUUCAUGACACCGAUACAAAGUGUGAACAAGAAAGCGACACGUCUUACGGUUACGGAGGCUUAAUGCGUCAAAGUUUGGCGGAAGAAUAAUAAUAAUAAUUAAAAAAUGGAAGGUCUUUCCAUCAAAACAAUGUAUUUUGAUAUGAAAAGUUGUGAAACUAAGUUUAAAAUGUCAUUUCAAUCGUCAAAUGAUAGCUCCUAGUUAAGCUGAUUCCAAAAAAUAUAUGUUUCCAUACAUUUUUUUAAAUAAGGGAGAUAAUUUUUACUUCCGGUUUGAAAAAUGUUACUUCCGAUUAUAUUUGAAUAUUUACUUGACACUGAUUCCAAAAAUAUCUGGUUCUAUAGACUUUUAUAUUAAUAAAGUACAAAAAAUAGCUACUUCCGGUUUACAAAAAGUCACUUCCGGUUGGUUUUUUUCAAGGUUAAAUGGUUUGAGACCUUUUUCUAAAAGUUGUAUAUCUUUAUCAUGUAUACAUAUAGAAUAAAAGCAAAGGUCAAAAUCUAGAACGUCAAAUUAAGCUAUGACCUUGAGAUCAAUUUCAAGGUCAUAAACAAGGACCUCAAAUCAAAAGACCAUAGGUCUUAAUUAUAUUUAGUUAAUGAGUUAUAUCACCAAACGCGUAUUUUUAAAUACAAGAGGGGAGAAAACUCCCUUUUACAUUCAACGUACGCUUGCAAUCAAAAUUUACAUCUUACGACAUGUCGCAACUAACAAUUUAGUAAAAAUAAUUUGUUGAUAUCUUAUACAGUCUUUGGAUAUAAGUGAAAAUAAGCCAAAUUCAAAUAUUAGAAUAUGACCUUGACCUUUGACCUUGACCUAAUUUUCAUUUUUUGGGACCAAGGACCUCAAAUCAAAAGAUCCUAGGUCUCUAUCACUUAUGAUUUAUAAGAUAGAAAUUCAUAUCACUUAUAUCAGAUGCAUAAGGGGAAAUAACUCUCAUAUGGAGCGGUCAUAUCGCUUCGGUCAAAAUAGGACAAAUCAUGCGAAGAUAUAACGAGCAAUUUUGUAAAAUAAAUUUGUCAUAAUCUUUUACGGUUGCGAAGAGAUGUGAUAACAAGGAAAACAGUGUUUGGGGAGAUAACUCCUACAAAGAAAAGUAUUCGUUUAUGCAGGGUAAAUUUCAAAAGCGCAUAAACUGUUCGAUAUCAUAUACAAAAUAUCUAAGCGACAUAUUGCGAAACAAAUGUUUAUCGCAAGAACAAAAUUAGGCGGAAGAAAAAAAAAAAAAUAGUCAGAAGAAAAACAAUAGGUCUUUCCACAGAAAAGUGGAAAGACCUAAUAAUAAUAAACAGAAGAAAUACAGUAAGGUCUUUCCCUUUUGUAAAAGGAAAGACCUUAAUAAUCAGAAGAAAACCAAUAGGUCUUUCCACGGAAAAGUGGAAAGACCUAAUAAUAAUAAUAAUCAGAAGAAAUCCAAUAGGUCUUUCCACGGAAAAGUGGAAAGACCUAAUAAUAAUAAUAAUCAGAAGAAAUCCAAUAGGUCUUUCCACGGAAAGGUGGAAAGACCUAAUAAUCAGAACAAAUACAAUAGGUCUUUCAACUGAAAGGUUGAAAGACCUAAUAAUCAGAAGAAAUCCAAUAGGUCUUUCCACGGAAAAGUGGAAAGACCUAAUAAUUAAAAACCAAUUGUUCAAAGAACAAUUGAAGGUCUUUCAACCAAUAAGGAUCUAUUUUGAUAUGAAAAUAUUAAGAUUCAGUUGAAAAUGUCAGUUGCUAUGGCUUUAUGAUAUGAAAAUAUGAAUUUCGAGCAAAGGUCAAAAUCUAGAACGUCCAAUUAACCUAUGACCUUGACCCCAAUUUCAAGGUCAUAAACCAAGGAUCCCAAAUCAAAAGACCCUAGGUCAGUAGUAUGUAUGGUUCAUGAGUAAUAUCACUUUAUGCAUAAUUCUAAAUAUAAGAGGGGCAAAAACUCCCGUUUAUUGUCUACGCACCCUAUCAAUCAAAAAUUCUAAGUUACGACAUGUCGCAACUAACAAUUUAGUAAAAAGAAUUUGUCGAAAUCUUAUAAAGUUAACGAGAAUAAGUGAAAAUAAGCCAAAAUCAAAAUUUAGAAUUUGACCUUGACCUAAUUUUCAUUUUUUGGACCAAGGAUCUUAAAUCAAAAGACCCUAGGUCUCUAUCACUUAUAGUUUACCAGUUAGAAAUGCAUAUCACUGAUAUCAUAUAUAAAAGGGGGAAUAACUCUCAUAUGGAGUCUUCGGAUAGCUUCGGUUGAAAUGAAACAGAACAUCCUAAGGAUAUAACGAGCAAUUUGGAAAAAUAAAUUUGUUGGUUUCUUAUACGGUUGCAAAUAUUAAACGAUAACAAGAAAAACAGUGUUCGGGGAGAUAACUCUUACAUUGAAAAGAUUUUGGUUACUCAAUGUGAGUCACAAAAGCGUAAUAACUGUUCGAUAUCAUAUACCAUAUGUCUAAGCGACAUCUUGCGAAACAAAAAAACUGCGAAGGAAAAAAAAGUUGGCGGA